GACGAACGCUGGCGGCGUGCUUAACACAUGCAAGUCGAACGGAAAGGCCCUGCUUUUGUGGGGUGCUCGAGUGGCGAACGGGUGAGUAACACGUGAGUAACCUGCCCUUGACUUUGGGAUAACUUCAGGAAACUGGGGCUAAUACCGGAUAGGAGCUCCUGCUGCAUGGUGGGGGUUGGAAAGUUUCGGCGGUUGGGGAUGGACUCGCGGCUUAUCAGCUUGUUGGUGGGGUAGUGGCUUACCAAGGCUUUGACGGGUAGCCGGCCUGAGAGGGUGACCGGCCACAUUGGGACUGAGAUACGGCCCAGACUCCUACGGGAGGCAGAAGUGGGGAAUAUUGCACAAUGGGCGGAAGCCUGAUGCAGCAACGCCGCGUGCGGGAUGACGGCCUUCGGGCUGUAAACCGCUUUCGCCUGUGACGAAGCGUGAGUGACGGUAAUGGGUAAAGAAGCACCGGCUAACUACGUG
This 468-nucleotide ribosomal RNA is filed under the name uncultured bacterium. RNAcentral describes it as "partial 16S ribosomal RNA". It matches the Rfam family "Bacterial small subunit ribosomal RNA", at positions 28 to 507 of the family's 1533-position model. The record is from RNAcentral.